GCUGGGCGUGGUGGUGGGCGCCUGUAAUCCCAGCUACUUGGCAGGCUGAGGCAGGAGAAUCGCUUGAACCCGGGAGGCAGAGGCUGCAGUGAGCAGAGAUGGUGCCACUGCACUCUAGCCUGGGUGACAGAGUGAGAUUCCGUUUCAA
Molecule: non-coding RNA, 148 nt
Organism: Homo sapiens (human)
Lineage: Eukaryota; Metazoa; Chordata; Mammalia; Primates; Hominidae
Rfam family: Metazoan signal recognition particle RNA
About the family: The signal recognition particle (SRP) is a universally conserved ribonucleoprotein. It is involved in the co-translational targeting of proteins to membranes.
Source: Rfam